UGGCUCUCGCAACGAUGAAGAACGCAGCGAAAUGCGAUACGUAGUGUGAAUUGCAGAAUUCCGUGAAUCAUCGAAUCUUUGAACGCACCUUGCACUCUGUUCUGCAGAGUAUGCCUGUUUGAGAAUCUAUAGUAUUUUUCAACGGUUGUUGAAGAUUUGGGCAUUGUUUAUUUAAACUGGCCUUGAAUUAAAUUCUUGAGGUUGUUUGUAUGACGACGUAUUGAAUUAGAGAGAUGAAGGGUUCGCCCAGCUUCCUUUAAUUUCUGUACUAGUACAGCAACUAGAAAGCUCAUUCUUUAUAAAUUCUUGGUCUCAAAUCAGGUAGGAAGACCCGCUGA
Molecule: unclassified non-coding RNA, 338 nt
Filed under: uncultured fungus
Lineage: Eukaryota; Fungi
Description: partial contains 5.8S ribosomal RNA and internal transcribed spacer 2
Rfam family: 5.8S ribosomal RNA (bases 1-128)
Source: RNAcentral